Molecule: non-coding RNA, 302 nt
Organism: Cucurbita pepo subsp. pepo (vegetable marrow)
Lineage: Eukaryota; Viridiplantae; Streptophyta; Magnoliopsida; Cucurbitales; Cucurbitaceae
Source: RefSeq, a predicted model, not a curated record
CAUGAUUAUAAAGAUGUUUUUAUUCCCAGCGGUGUAGAAUCUCUUCCUUACGGUACAUAAUACAUUUGCCUGGUCUCAAUGGUAUGCUCAGUUGGAAAUGGGAGAAUGGCAGUGAUGACAAGGCUUCUGGCUGCAGGGAGUUUCUCCCGAACUAUUGCUGAGGAAGUUGGUCAUCAGAAAUUAGCUUCUGAAUUUAUCUGUAGAGAACUUCGUGAUGCAGAUGAAGCAAAUUUAAUUGAUGAAGAAGAUAUGCACGUCUUUGGUUUGAAGCCUAUGGUUGAUCCUCUGAACUUGGUAAGGUU